UACGUAGGGUGCAAGCGUUAAUCGGAAUUACUGGGCGUAAAGCGUGCGCAGGCGGUUAUAUAAGACAGUUGUGAAAUCCCCGGGCUCAACCUGGGAACUGCAUCUGUGACUGUAUAGCUAGAGUACGGUAGAGGGGGAUGGAAUUCCGCGUGUAGCAGUGAAAUGCGUAGAUAUGACAUAGAACACCCAUUGCGAAGGCAGCUAACUACGCGAUAAUUGACGCUGAUGCACGAAAGCGUGGGGAUCAAACAGG
RNAcentral lists this ribosomal RNA (253 nucleotides) under uncultured bacterium. Its description in RNAcentral is "partial 16S ribosomal RNA". It matches the Rfam family "Bacterial small subunit ribosomal RNA", at positions 524 to 776 of the family's 1533-position model. The record is from RNAcentral.